RNAcentral lists this long non-coding RNA (1070 nucleotides) under Scleropages formosus (Asian bonytongue). RNAcentral describes it as "lncRNA (ENSSFOG00015028981.1)". Lineage: Eukaryota; Metazoa; Chordata; Actinopteri; Osteoglossiformes; Osteoglossidae. The record is from RNAcentral.
AUGACUAUCACGUCCCGCACUCAGCUGUUUUGGCAGCCAUCCACGAGUGCAAUAUUAAAUAUUAUUCCUACUUCCACGCAGCUCAGCUUUAACACCUGGACGCAUGUCGCCCGAGUCUCGUGCAAAGAAAACAGUCCAGAAAAUGGAUGGAGCGCCUCACCUUCGCUUCGGACUACGUGCCUGCUUUGUCCGGAACGGCCAACGCCAGGCCCCGGGAAGCUACACAACAAUGGCAGCUGCUGCUGCCGCCGCUAUGCAGUUAUUCUCCUUAAUACGCCGACUGACUCCAUUGCUGAUUGUUCUGCUGAUGCUUCAAGCUCCCCCUCCGUGGUUCCUCCUGCCAGCAUUAUUGCUUUGAUCUCCAGGUCCUCUUCCCAGCCAUGAGGUUCUGCCACCUCCUGUUUUUCCAUUUCCGAGCCCAUAUGAAAUUCCCCUUCCAGUUCAACGAUAUUCUCCUCUAUGAUGGUAGCUGGAUUCUCCACAGGCUCAUUGGGCGCUUCUUGCAGUAUGUCAUUCUCCGGUCUAUCUGUCCCCAAAGUGGCUUCAUCCACCCUAGAGCCCACCCCCUGCCAUGGCAGUUCGGUCUUUAGAACAGCAUCUUCUGCAUCUUGGUGAUCUGUCACACUUCUCACUGCCAGCCCUUCUGUCACAGAAACUUUCUCUUGUUCUUCUCCCAGAUUUGCUGACCCUCCUUCGUUUUCACGUUUUAAGUCUGCCAACGGCUUUGCGUAUAGCACCGUGCCAUCAAUUUCCUCUGGGGGCACAGUGCCCAUGUCUUCAGAGUCCCCCGAGGUAACUGGCUUUGGGAGGUUCACACUUCGUGACUUGUCCUCCAGCACAUUGACAGAUGACACCAGCCCGCUCUCCCCGACAGAGGCAGCCGCUAUCUCCACCGUUGAACCUGCUAUUAUUUUCAUGGCACUCGACAAGUCAGACUUCACCACUGAAACAGAAGGACCCAGGAUUCAACAAUUUCUGCAGUUUGCUUGUCAUUUUUCUUACAAAAGCUCCAUUGCUUUGCUACCUAACCAAAUAAUUGCAGUUUCAACCUUGUUCAAGACAAAUCCUUU